This 499-nucleotide ribosomal RNA is filed under the name uncultured bacterium. RNAcentral's name for it is "partial 16S ribosomal RNA". It matches the Rfam family "Bacterial small subunit ribosomal RNA", at positions 899 to 1397 of the family's 1533-position model. The record is from RNAcentral.
ACUCAAAGGAAUUGACGGGGGCCCGCACAAGCGGUGGAGCAUGUGGUUCAAUUCGACGCAACGCGAAGAACCUUACCUGGGCUCGAACGGCUCACGAAAAACUGUGGAAACAUGGUUUUCCCGCAAGGGACGGGAGUCGAGGUGCUGCAUGGCUGUCGUCAGCUCGUGUCGUGAGAUGUUGGGUUAAGUCCCGCAACGAGCGCAACCCUCGUCCUGUGUUGCUACUCCGCAAGGAGGCACUCUCAGGAGACUGCCGGCGAUAAGCUGGAGGAAGGUGGGGAUGACGUCAAGUCAUCAUGGCCUUUAUGUCCAGGGCUACACACGUGCUACAAUGGACGGUACAAACCGCUGCAAACCCGCGAGGGGGAGCUAAUCGGAGAAAACCGUUCUCAGUUCGGAUCGCAGGCUGCAACUCGCCUGCGUGAAGCUGGAAUCGCUAGUAAUGGCGUAUCAGAACGACGCCGUGAAUACGUUCCCGGGCCUUGUACACACCGCCCGU